Long non-coding RNA from Dama dama (fallow deer), 1512 nucleotides. RefSeq lists it as uncharacterized. NCBI's taxonomy places the organism in Eukaryota, Metazoa, Chordata, Mammalia, Artiodactyla, Cervidae. The record is from RefSeq and is a predicted model, not a curated record. The transcript has 4 exons.
GGUUAGAGGUUAAGCGAAAUCAAAGCCAACUUAGAACCUGGUAAAAAGGAUGUGGUGCCAAUGAUGGAAACAGGGAACUUGGGAAGAAACUGGUUUUUGAAGGAAGAUGACUGUAGCAGUCCCAGGUGUUACAUGGUUCAUACAACAUCAGCCCGGACAGAAAUCUCCCCAGAGGCUUCAUAGCAGGAGAAAACACUUCUUUCCCACAUCAGAUGUUUCUUGAAGUAUGGAGGGGGUGCCACUAACAUAACACUUGAUACUUUAUUCCAGCACUUCUAGCAAGUUUCCUGAUGUUCAGGGCGUUCUGACAACAAAACCUACACUUUAUCAGUGGCCCCAUGAGAUUCCACAAAAGAAGUGAAAUUAGUACUGAAGUGGUCUUAUGAAGAUGGGAGCAGGACUACCCCAACUGACUGCUGACUUCUUACCCAAGGGAGCUAACUAUAUCCCAAGGUAAUCUCAGUGGAUGGGGAAACGGAAGCACAGGGAUUUUGGAUGACUUCAACAAGGUCUACCCUGGCUAGAGGUGCUGCUGGGCUGUGGACCACACAGCACUACCCUACAGUCUUCAUGUGCAUCCAUAGAGCUGUACUGCCUCUGCGGCAACAAGAAAAAGGUCCAGAAGAACACACUGAAACCUGGCAGGACAAGUCCCCUCUAGGAUUGCGAGAACUUUUAUUUAUGAUGAUAACGUAUUCAUGUAUUAAAUGUGAUUGAAACUUGUAAAGUUAAAAUUGUCAAAGUCCUCAGUCAGAUUAUUAAUUUCCAUAAAUUUGUUGCUACUUGAAAAAAUUGUCAAUUAGACUCUUAAAGCUGGUAAAGAAUCUAGGGAUUAUGUUAAAGAGAUUAUCUUCUUGUUUUUCAGAUGAGGAAACUGAGGUUAUAUGACUUGCUUAAGCACAUAAAACUAGUUAGUGACAGAGCAGGUCUGCUGAUAUUGUAUGCUUUCUAUUGCAUUUUUGAGACAUAUCUUAUGUGGAGUAAUUUGUAGAUCUUAAGUGAAUAGUUUGAGAAUUUUAUCAAAUGUAUGUACUCAUGUAACCAGUUUCAGAACCAUAUAGAUGAUUUAGAUCCUGUGAUAAAAAUAAUUUCCAUUGCUCCUGAACAUUCCCUUGUACUAGGCAACUCUUUGAAAACUUUCCUUGUGUGUAUUAGUAAGAAUUCAAGUACUUAUAUUUUAUGUGUAUCCAUAUAUUUUACCUAUCUCAGCAAAGAUACAUCUUAUUGUGUAUGUGUGUAUACUUCCUUAAAGACAGAAAUAGGAUUUUCACAAAGUCCCAUGAGCUGCUUUUUAUCCUUUUGCAAACCAGUUCCUAAUUGAUGAAAUUGCUAAUUGAUGUUCCUUGUUUACAAUCAUUUGCUCCAGUUGGUUUAUAGCCUGACAUAAUUAUUAUUACAUACAAAAUAAUUCUUCAGUUGUUUGAUGUUCAAGCUCCCCAGACACACUUAGAGUCAAAGUACAUAUGUCUUUUUUUUUUUUUAACUAAGCUGUUUUAAAGUCUUGAGAAGAUU